Cucumis melo (muskmelon) is the source of this 956-nucleotide long non-coding RNA. RefSeq lists it as uncharacterized. Lineage: Eukaryota; Viridiplantae; Streptophyta; Magnoliopsida; Cucurbitales; Cucurbitaceae. The record is from RefSeq and is a predicted model, not a curated record. The transcript is spliced from 9 exons.
UCUUCUUCUUCUCUUCCCUUCACCGCCAAGAUUUUUGAAGACAUCCAACUUCCAUUUUUUUUUUCUUUUUCCUUCUUCAAUUUGCAGAGAACUUCUAAGAGAGAGUUUGGAAGAAGAAGAGAAAUUUUACUAGAAUUUUGAGGUUGAAGAAGAGGAGGAGAACUCAAGCAAAGUGUAUCCAUGGCUGAAUUUUAGUUCAUUCUGCACAUCACUGGUUUUUAAUUGGGUUUGAACUCUUCAAAAGGAAUUAAGAGAGGGCAGUUGGUUUUCACUCGAAAUCAGGAGGUCUCUGGUUUUUCUUGUAUUUCAGAGUGUAUCGGUGGAAUUAAAAUCUUUAUUUGGGACAAGUUAAAGAGGUCGUGUGCACGCGAUUCUGGAAGUGGUUCUGUUUUGAGGGUUAUAUGUGUUUAUGCACGGGGAAUCAGAUUUAUAUGUCUUCAGGCCGAGAAGAAUUAAACCGAGCUUAUAGACCAAGGAUCUAGCCCAAGACUGUAUUGAUCGACUUCCCGGUGCCUGAUAGACAUCCUUAGUCUGCGGAAGCUUCAUUAUCGAUUGCCAAGUCGACAGAUACAGGUACAGAAAAGCGUUGUUCGUCGGCUUCACGCCAUCUUUCGAUCUAAGGUAGCAGGUAGUCCGGGAGGGGGUGUGACACUCCACUUCGGGUCACGGUGAGUCUUCGGUGAUAGGGGUUUGACGCUCAAGUUCACGGUCCCACGACAAGUUCAUUUGGGAAUAGCUCCCUUUACUCGGGUGGAUCUAUUGAGCGUGGACUCGAUCGAGGGGCAUAACCAAGUAUCAGGUAAGGGUACAGCGAGGGGCAGACCGACGAGGGGCAAGAAGGAUGCGUGAAGGCCAUAUGGAUGCGUCUGGUUUUCUUUAUGCUUCCGCUGAUGUAUUUUGUUAGAAUAUUUGGUUUUGUGAUUGUGAGUUUGAUGACUUGAGUAUUGUAUUUGAAA